This 72-nucleotide small nucleolar RNA is filed under the name Eschrichtius robustus (grey whale). Its description in RNAcentral is "Small nucleolar RNA SNORD113/SNORD114 family". It matches the Rfam family "Small nucleolar RNA SNORD113/SNORD114 family". Rfam says of the family: The imprinted human domain at 14q32 contains two clusters of tandemly repeated small nucleolar RNAs named 14q(I) and 14q(II) snoRNAs. These two clusters are named SNORD113 and SNORD114 respectively in the HGNC approved gene symbol nomenclature. The snoRNAs found in both clusters are clearly related and are represented here by a single family. The record is from Rfam by way of RNAcentral. RNAcentral also lists the same sequence under 1 other name. Lineage: Eukaryota; Metazoa; Chordata; Mammalia; Artiodactyla; Eschrichtiidae.
UGGAUUAAUGAUGACUACUGGCAGCGUAUGAGUCAUAUAUGAUGAGUGUGGGUCUGGAACUCUGAGACCCAA